This 406-nucleotide ribosomal RNA is filed under the name uncultured bacterium. RNAcentral's name for it is "partial 16S ribosomal RNA". It matches the Rfam family "Bacterial small subunit ribosomal RNA", at positions 30 to 526 of the family's 1533-position model. The record is from RNAcentral.
UUUGAACGCUGGCGGCAGGCCUAAUACAUGCAAGUCGAACGAGUGGCGGACGGGUGAGUAAUGUCUGGGAAAACGUCCGAUGGAGGGGGAUAACUACUGGAAACGGUAGCUCAUACCGCAUACCAUCGGAUGUGCCCAGAUGGGAUUAGCUAGUAGGUGGGGUAACGGCUCACCUAGGCGACGAUCCCUAGCUGGUCUGAGAGGAUGACCAGCCACACUGGAACUGAGACACGGUCCAGACUCCUACGUGCGGCAGCAGUGGGGAAUAUUGCACAAUGGGCGAAAUCCGGAUUAUGCCAUGCCGCGUGAAUGAAGAAGGCCUUCGAGUGGUAAAGUACUUUCAGAGAGGAGGCGUUACUCACAGAAGAAGCACCGGCUAACUCCGUGCCAGCAGCCGCGGUAAUUC